RNAcentral lists this ribosomal RNA (253 nucleotides) under Alistipes ihumii AP11. RNAcentral's name for it is "partial 16S ribosomal RNA". It matches the Rfam family "Bacterial small subunit ribosomal RNA", at positions 524 to 776 of the family's 1533-position model. Lineage: Bacteria; Pseudomonadati; Bacteroidota; Bacteroidia; Bacteroidales; Rikenellaceae. The record is from RNAcentral.
UACGGAGGAUCCGAGCGUUAUCCGGAUUUAUUGGGUUUAAAGGGUGCGUAGGCGGUUUGAUAAGUUAGAGGUGAAAGCUCGAUGCUCAACAUCGAAAUUGCCUCUGAUACUGUCAGACUAGAGUGUAGUUGCGGAAGGCGGAAUGUGUGGUGUAGCGGUGAAAUGCUUAGAUAUCACACAGAACACCGAUUGCGAAGGCAGCUUUCCAAGCUAUUACUGACGCUGAGGCACGAAAGCGUGGGUAGCGAACAGG